CAAAAUAUAGCUUAAAUAAAGCAUUUUGCUUACACCAAAAAAAUAUUUGGAAAACCAAAUUAUUUUGA
RNAcentral lists this transfer RNA (68 nucleotides) under Desmognathus brimleyorum. Its description in RNAcentral is "tRNA-Val". The record is from RNAcentral. Lineage: Eukaryota; Metazoa; Chordata; Amphibia; Caudata; Plethodontidae.